ACGUUAGCGGCGGACGGGUGAGUAACACGUGGGUGAUCUGCCCUGCACUCUGGGAUAAGCCUGGGAAACUGGGUCUAAUACCGGAUAGGACCAUGCUUUAGUGUGUGUGGUGGAAAGUUUUUUCGGUGUAGGAUGAGCCCGCGGCCUAUCAGCUUGUUGGUGGGGUAAUGGCCUACCAAGGCGGCGACGGGUAGCCGGACUGAGAGGUUGGUCGGCCACAUUGGGACUGAGAUACGGCCCAG
RNAcentral lists this ribosomal RNA (242 nucleotides) under uncultured Actinomycetales bacterium. RNAcentral's name for it is "partial 16S ribosomal RNA". It matches the Rfam family "Bacterial small subunit ribosomal RNA", at positions 89 to 334 of the family's 1533-position model. The record is from RNAcentral. Lineage: Bacteria; Bacillati; Actinomycetota; Actinomycetes; Actinomycetales.